AGUGAACGCUGGCGGCGUGCUUAACACGUGCAAGUCGAACGAGAACGGGUUAUAGCUUGCUAUAAUUGUCAGCUAAGUGGCACACGGGUGAGUAAUGUAUAGGUAAUAUGCCUCUUACUAAGGGAUAACAAAUGGAAACGUUUGCUAAUACCUUAUACUCCUUAUUAACAUAAGUUAAUAAGGGAAAGAUUUAUUGGUAAGAGAUUAGCCUGUGUUGUAUCAGUUAGUUGGUGGGGUAAUGGCUUACCAAGACUAUGACACAUAACUGGUUUGAGAGGAUGAUCAGUCACACUGGAACUGAGACACGGUCCAGACUCCUACGGGAGGCAGCAGUGGGGAAUAUUGCACAAUGGACGAAAGUCUGAUGCAGCAACGCCGCGUGGAGGAUGACACAUUUCGGUGCGUAAACUCCUUUUAUAUGAGAAGAUAAUGACGGUAUUAUAUGAAUAAGCACCGGCUAACUCCGUGCCAGCAGCAGCCGCGG
RNAcentral lists this ribosomal RNA (484 nucleotides) under uncultured bacterium. RNAcentral describes it as "partial 16S ribosomal RNA". It matches the Rfam family "Bacterial small subunit ribosomal RNA", at positions 29 to 523 of the family's 1533-position model. The record is from RNAcentral.